GGGGCAGUCAAGGUUUCGACAGGGAUUCUGAAGUUGGAGAAGCUAUCCGCAGACUCCGGCACUGCGUUAAAAGCUGGAAUUAAAAUUAAACGCUGAAGAUAAUUUAGCAGUAGCUGCCUAAGUGCAGCUUGUCGGCCUUAGGGCACUCACACCUUAAGAACCCGGCAUCGAUCAUGUGAGAAACGACGUGCGGUAAGCUUUGCCCGCACGGGCGUACCAUGAAGCUACCGACGGUGAAAGGCUGCUGACUGCCGUUCACCCGGGGGAAUCCCAAAGAAUCAGCUAUGAUAGUAGAAGGACAAGGGAUGGAUUUUUGGACACGGGUUCGACUCCCGUCUGCUCCAC
RNAcentral lists this transfer-messenger RNA (345 nucleotides) under chicken gut metagenome. It matches the Rfam family "transfer-messenger RNA". From Rfam's summary of the family: Bacterial tmRNA, also known as 10Sa RNA or SsrA, is named for its dual tRNA and mRNA-like properties. Its role is to liberate the mRNA from a stalled ribosome. To accomplish this part of the tmRNA is used as a reading frame that ends in a translation stop signal. The record is from RNAcentral.